GAACAUAUUAAUUUUGUUUUAUCAAACCUAAUUUGAGACUUAUACUCUUAAAAUAAUAUAAAUUAUACUUCAAAAAUAGAAAACAGUUAAAGGGACAUAACUCAACUUUUAAAUGGAAUGGAACUUCUGAAGUAUGGUUUGAAUUUUCUGGCCAUACCAAAACAACAGACUAUGCAUUGGUUUUUGUGGAUGUUUGCCAGUAUCACAGACUGUUCCCUUAAAAAGAGUUGUGAUAUACAAAUGCCAUAUAAAUCUGAAAGGUGUUAAAAUUUUAAGUGUAAAUCAAAUUUGUUGUACUUGUCAAAAGUAAAAUCACAAAAAUACUGAAUUCAGAAAAAAAUCAAAUUGGAAAGUCCCUAAUCACAUGGCAAAAUCAAAUGAAAAAAACACAUCAAAAACAAAUGGACAAUAAUUUAAGGGCUGUAACUAUGUCCCCGUCCCCACCAAUGAAAAAGGGGGGAUGGAUAUAUUAGUUUCUGGAACAGCUCUAAGAGCUUAAACAAAAAUUAUUGAAAAAUUGAUGUCUGCAUAACCCAGUCAAGUAUAUUAACAAUGAGAAUGAGAAGGGAUUAGUAAUAGCAGCAGUCAAAUUAAGACCUGCAGUCAAUCAAAUACCAAAGAGAUAUAAUGAGAAUUUUCCUUUUAAUCCUUCAAAAUGUUUUUAAAGAGGCAGACAAUACCAGGCUUUUCCCAUUAAAAUAAAUAUUAAAUAAAUCAGAGGGUUAAGAAGGGAAGUUUUAUUUUUGGACAUAUGAAUUGUGAUAAUAAGGUUGGAUGAAAAUGUAACCACCCUCCCACAUUCAUUUUAAUAGAAUAGCCUUUAUCAACCAAAGAACAAACGUUUUACAGUACAGAAACUGACAAAUAUAUGAUACCGAAAGAGAGGUGCAAUCUGACACACUCAAAUUAAUUAUUUGUGAUUGGUUAAAUUAUCCUUAUAAUUUUGUAUUUAACUCCAUAGGUAAUAUGAACAUUUUGCAUGAUUGAUUUUUUUUGGGUUCUGAAACAGUGCCUCCUACGUUCCCUUUGCAUUUAAUAAUGGAACAGGCCUCAACUUUCUACUGUCAUGACUAUGUUGAAUGGUAUCAACAUCUUCACAACCCUGUAUCAAUAUAAAAUGAGUAUUCUUCUUUUUCGGAUAAUCGAUACUCUGAUAAUCAAUACACUAUAUAAAAUGUUAUAUACAUGCUGCUUUGGAAGACUAGAAGGUCUGAUUGUUAUGGAGAUUCACAUGUAAAUAACAUUAAUGUACAUCUAUCACAAAAGCUUUAAAGUCCAAUGUUUGUCUCAUUACACCUGUCAGCACAAAUUCUGCAUUGUGGAUUG
RNAcentral lists this long non-coding RNA (1326 nucleotides) under Mytilus galloprovincialis (Mediterranean mussel). Lineage: Eukaryota; Metazoa; Mollusca; Bivalvia; Mytilida; Mytilidae. The record is from RNAcentral.